GUAAAAGGAGCGUCACUGCCACAUGGAGAUCACGUGAUGGUGUGCGUGGUGGUUGAUUAGUCUGACCGGGUGGUGAGGAGAUUCGGUCCACUCUAUCACUCACCACUUAAGAGCAGCUCCACACAUCCAUUUCCCCUGUUGUCUCAAGCGAUUCCAAGGUACGAUGCAAGGAGCAAUUCAUGCUAUUCGAUCCAAUGGAAAUGGUCUAAAACAUGCUGUGCUACAGCAUCUUCGAGUCGUAAGUCCAGUUGCACGGCCCACAGUUUUUCGACGUUUUGAGUCUGCUUCGCCUGCUCGUUUGGAAGAGCAUGGAUUUGAAAGCAUCACAGUUUCAGACAUUCUGAAAGCUAAAGGCAAAGGUGCUGAUGGAUCCUGGCUGUGGUGCACUACAGAUGACUCUGUUUAUGAGGCUGUGAAAUCUAUGACUCAGCACAAUGUAGGAGCUUUGGUGGUUGUAAAACCUGGAAAAGAAAAAUCAAUUGCUGGCAUUAUUACCGAGAGAGAUUAUCUCAGGAAAAUCAU
This 522-nucleotide unclassified non-coding RNA is filed under the name Hevea brasiliensis (rubber tree). Lineage: Eukaryota; Viridiplantae; Streptophyta; Magnoliopsida; Malpighiales; Euphorbiaceae. The record is from RNAcentral.